Molecule: ribosomal RNA, 457 nt
Filed under: uncultured bacterium
Lineage: Bacteria
Description: partial 16S ribosomal RNA
Rfam family: Bacterial small subunit ribosomal RNA
Source: RNAcentral
CCUACGGGAGGCAGCAGUGAGGAAUAUUGGUCAAUGGCCGGAAGGCUGAACCAGCCAUGCCGCGUGAAGGUCAGUGCCCUAUUGGCGUUAAACUUCUUUUGUUCGGGAGCAAUAAUGGUCACGUGUGGCCAGACGAGAGUACCGUCCGAAUAAGCAUCGGCUAACUCCGUGCCAGCAGCCGCGGUAAUACGGGGGAUGCAAGCGUUAUCCGGAUUUAUUGGGUUUAACGGGUGCGCGGGCGGGCCUUUAAGCCGGGGGUGAAAUCGCGGGGCUCAACCCCGCCGAGCCGUCGGAACUGGGGGCCUUGAGGGCGGCGGAGGCAUGCGGAAUGGGCGGUGUAGCGGUGAAAUGCAUAGAUAUCGCGCAGAACCCCGAUUGCGAAGGCAGCGGGCCGGGCGGCAACUGACGCUGAGGCACGAAAGCGCGGGGAUCGAACAGGAUUAGAUACCCUGUAGUC